Meleagris gallopavo (turkey) is the source of this 165-nucleotide non-coding RNA. Lineage: Eukaryota; Metazoa; Chordata; Aves; Galliformes; Phasianidae. The record is from RefSeq and is a predicted model, not a curated record.
GGAGAAGAUGGGGAAGUUGGACCAAGAGGUCUCCCAGGUGAAGCUGGUCCACGGGGACUACUGGGUCCCAGAGGUACACCUGGUCCCCCUGGACAACCUGGCAUUGCAGGUAUUGAUGGACCUUCAGGCCCAAAGGGAAACAUGGUGAGUAAGUUGGAAAUUAAA